UCCUUCGGGAGCAAGUAAAGUGGCGGACGGGUGCGUAACGCGUAGACAACCUGCCCUUGAGCGGGGGAUAACCACGGGAAACUGUGGCUAAUACCGCAUAACGUCCGGAUCCCGCAUGGGAACCGGAUCAAAGUCUUCGGACGCUCAGGGAUGGGUCUGCGUCGGAUUAGCUCGUUGGUGAGGUAACGGCUCACCAAGGCAACAAUCCGUAGCUGGUCUGAGAGGAUGAUCAGCCACACUGGCACUGAGACACGGGCCAGACUCCUACGGGAGGCAGCAGUGGGGAAUCUUAGGCAAUGGGGGAAACCCUGACCUAGCCAUGCCGCGUGGAGGAAGACACCCCUACGGGGCGUAAACUCCUUUUCUGCCGGAAGAAAACCCUGUUUUGCAGGGCGUGACGGUACGGCAGGAAUAAGCACCGGCUAACUCCGUGCCAGCAGCCGCGGUAAUACGGAGGGUGCAAGCGUUGUCCGGAAUCACUGGGCGUAAAGGGUGUGUAGGUGGGGCAGCAAGUCAGAGGUGAAAGCCCACGGCUUAACCGUGGAAGUGCCUUUGAAACUGCUGUUCUUGAGUCCUGGAGAGGUUGCCGGAAUUCGUGGUGUAGCGGUGAAAUGCGUAGAUAUCACGAGGAACACCAGAGGCGUAAGCGGGCAACUGGACAGGUACUGACACUGAGGCACGAGAGCGUGGGGAGCAAACAGGAUUAGAUACCCUGGUAGUCCACGCCGUAAAACGAUGAAUGCUCGCCGUUGUCCCAUUCNGGGGCAGUGGCUAAGCUAACGCGUUAAGCAUUCCGCCUGGGGAGUACGACCGCAAGGUGAACUCAAAGGAAUUGACGGGGGCCCGCACAAGCGGUGGAGCAUGUGGCUAAUUCGAUGCAACGCGAGA
This 888-nucleotide ribosomal RNA is filed under the name uncultured bacterium. RNAcentral describes it as "bacterial SSU rRNA". It matches the Rfam family "Bacterial small subunit ribosomal RNA", at positions 76 to 966 of the family's 1533-position model. The record is from RNAcentral.